AUUAACGCUAGCGGCAGGCAUAAUACAUGCAAGUUGAACGGCAGCACAGGUAGCAAUACUGGGUGGCGAGUGGCGCACGGGUGCGUAACACGUAUGCAACCUACCCUAUACAGGCGAAUAACCUUUAGAAAUGAGGGCUAAUACGCCGUAGUAUUACAGAUGGGCAUCUAUUUGUAAUUAAAGAUUUAUCGGUAUAGGAUGGGCAUGCGUCCCAUUAGUUAGUUGGUAAGGUAACGGCUUACCAAGAC
RNAcentral lists this ribosomal RNA (248 nucleotides) under uncultured bacterium. RNAcentral's name for it is "partial 16S ribosomal RNA". It matches the Rfam family "Bacterial small subunit ribosomal RNA", at positions 29 to 274 of the family's 1533-position model. The record is from RNAcentral.